This 508-nucleotide ribosomal RNA is filed under the name uncultured bacterium. Its description in RNAcentral is "partial 16S ribosomal RNA". It matches the Rfam family "Bacterial small subunit ribosomal RNA", at positions 28 to 507 of the family's 1533-position model. The record is from RNAcentral.
GACGAACGCUGGCGGCGUGCCUAAUACAUGCAAGUCGAACGCUUCUUUCCUCCCGAGUGCUUGCACUCAAUUGGAAAGAGGAGUGGCGGACGGGUGAGUAACACGUGGGUAACCUACCCAUCAGAGGGGGAUAACACUUGGAAACAGGUGCUAAUACCGCAUAACAGUUUAUGCCGCAUGGCAUAAGAGUGAAAGGCGCUUUCGGGUGUCGCUGAUGGAUGGACCCGCGGUGCAUUAGCUAGUUGGUGAGGUAACGGCUCACCAAGGCCACGAUGCAUAGCCGACCUGAGAGGGUGAUCGGCCACACUGGGACUGAGAAACGGCCCAGACUCCUACGGGAGGCAGCAGUAGGGAAUCUUCGGCAAUGGACGAAAGUCUGACCGAGCAACGCCGCGUGAGUGAAGAAGGUGUUCGGAUCGUAAAACUCUGUUGUUAGAGAAGAACAAGGACGUUAGUAACUGAACGUCCCCUGACGGUAUCUAACCAGAAAGCCACGGCUAACUACGUG